GUUUCUGUAGUGUAGUGGUCAUCACGUUCGCCUAACAAGCGAAAGGUCCCCAGUUCGAAACUGGGCGGAAACU
Rhinichthys klamathensis goyatoka is the source of this 73-nucleotide non-coding RNA. Lineage: Eukaryota; Metazoa; Chordata; Actinopteri; Cypriniformes; Leuciscidae. The record is from the annotation of a RefSeq genome assembly.